UACUCGAGUAGCGAACGGGUGAGUAACACGUGGGUGAUCUGCCCUGCACUUCGGGAUAAGCUUGGGAAACUGGGUCUAAUACCGGAUAGGAGCCAUCUUUAGUGUGGUGGUUGGAAAGUUUUUUCGGUGUAGGAUGAGCUCGCGGCCUAUCAGCUUGUUGGUGGGGUAAUGGCCUACCAAGGCGGCGACGGGUAGCCGGCCUGAGAGGGUGUACGGCCACAUUGGGACUGAGAUACGGCCCAG
This 243-nucleotide ribosomal RNA is filed under the name uncultured Actinomycetales bacterium. RNAcentral's name for it is "partial 16S ribosomal RNA". It matches the Rfam family "Bacterial small subunit ribosomal RNA", at positions 88 to 334 of the family's 1533-position model. The record is from RNAcentral. Lineage: Bacteria; Bacillati; Actinomycetota; Actinomycetes; Actinomycetales.